This 74-nucleotide transfer RNA is filed under the name Loxodonta africana (African savanna elephant). It matches the Rfam family "tRNA". Rfam says of the family: Transfer RNA (tRNA) molecules are approximately 80 nucleotides in length. Their secondary structure includes four short double-helical elements and three loops (D, anti-codon, and T loops). The record is from Rfam by way of RNAcentral. Lineage: Eukaryota; Metazoa; Chordata; Mammalia; Proboscidea; Elephantidae.
GCCUGGGUGGCACAAAUGGUUACUGCACUUUGCUGCUAACCUAAAGUUUGGAGGUUCAAAUCCACCCAGAGGCA